Non-coding RNA from Pogona vitticeps (central bearded dragon), 321 nucleotides. NCBI's taxonomy places the organism in Eukaryota, Metazoa, Chordata, Lepidosauria, Squamata, Agamidae. The record is from RefSeq and is a predicted model, not a curated record.
CAGAUAUGUGCUGUUCUGAAGACUCCCUAUGACUUGGCUGUAGCGCACCUUGUAGGCACUUUGAAUGUGCCUCUUUCUUUGGGCCCCUACGCAACUCUGAGGUGUUCAUUGGCAAGGAUGCCCCUGGUCUGCGACACCUUUGCUGUUUUAGAUUUAUUUAUCGAUGUUGAGGUGCCAGGAAAGGGGAAUCUCUCCAUUCCCGACUCAGCCGGCUCCAUCAACCUGCCUCCCAGGGACAAAUUUAAGCACUGCCAGUCUUUCCAUCCAGAACUCUUCAACAUCCUCCUUUCUGUUUUAGCCCCAAAUGAGCCCCAAGAACUG